RNAcentral lists this transfer RNA (83 nucleotides) under Clostridiales bacterium. RNAcentral's name for it is "tRNA-Leu". It matches the Rfam family "tRNA". From Rfam's summary of the family: Transfer RNA (tRNA) molecules are approximately 80 nucleotides in length. Lineage: Bacteria; Bacillati; Bacillota; Clostridia; Eubacteriales. RNAcentral also lists the same sequence under 1 other name. The record is from RNAcentral.
GCGGAUGUGAUGAAAUUGGCAGACAUGUUGGAUUUAGGUUCCAAUGCGAAAGCGUGCAGGUUCAAGUCCUGUCAUCCGCACCA